Molecule: ribosomal RNA, 2893 nt
Filed under: Escherichia coli
Lineage: Bacteria; Pseudomonadati; Pseudomonadota; Gammaproteobacteria; Enterobacterales; Enterobacteriaceae
Also listed under: 1 other name
Description: bacterial LSU rRNA
Rfam family: Bacterial large subunit ribosomal RNA
Source: RNAcentral
ACUAAGCGUACACGGUGGAUGCCCUGGCAGUCAGAGGCGAUGAAGGACGUGCUAAUCUGCGAUAAGCGUCGGUAAGGUGAUAUGAACCGUUAUAACCGGCGAUUUCCGAAUGGGGAAACCCAGUGUGUUUCGACACACUAUCAUUAACUGAAUCCAUAGGUUAAUGAGGCGAACCGGGGGAACUGAAACAUCUAAGUACCCCGAGGAAAAGAAAUCAACCGAGAUUCCCCCAGUAGCGGCGAGCGAACGGGGAGGAGCCCAGAGCCUGAAUCAGUGUGUGUGUUAGUGGAAGCGUCUGGAAAGGCGCGCGAUACAGGGUGACAGCCCCGUACACAAAAAUGCACAUGCUGUGAGCUCGAUGAGUAGGGCGGGACACGUGGUAUCCUGUCUGAAUAUGGGGGGACCAUCCUCCAAGGCUAAAUACUCCUGACUGACCGAUAGUGAACCAGUACCGUGAGGGAAAGGCGAAAAGAACCCCGGCGAGGGGAGUGAAAAAGAACCUGAAACCGUGUACGUACAAGCAGUGGGAGCCUCUUUUAUGGGGUGACUGCGUACCUUUUGUAUAAUGGGUCAGCGACUUAUAUUCUGUAGCAAGGUUAACCGAAUAGGGGAGCCGAAGGGAAACCGAGUCUUAACUGGGCGUUAAGUUGCAGGGUAUAGACCCGAAACCCGGUGAUCUAGCCAUGGGCAGGUUGAAGGUUGGGUAACACUAACUGGAGGACCGAACCGACUAAUGUUGAAAAAUUAGCGGAUGACUUGUGGCUGGGGGUGAAAGGCCAAUCAAACCGGGAGAUAGCUGGUUCUCCCCGAAAGCUAUUUAGGUAGCGCCUCGUGAAUUCAUCUCCGGGGGUAGAGCACUGUUUCGGCAAGGGGGUCAUCCCGACUUACCAACCCGAUGCAAACUGCGAAUACCGGAGAAUGUUAUCACGGGAGACACACGGCGGGUGCUAACGUCCGUCGUGAAGAGGGAAACAACCCAGACCGCCAGCUAAGGUCCCAAAGUCAUGGUUAAGUGGGAAACGAUGUGGGAAGGCCCAGACAGCCAGGAUGUUGGCUUAGAAGCAGCCAUCAUUUAAAGAAAGCGUAAUAGCUCACUGGUCGAGUCGGCCUGCGCGGAAGAUGUAACGGGGCUAAACCAUGCACCGAAGCUGCGGCAGCGACGCUUAUGCGUUGUUGGGUAGGGGAGCGUUCUGUAAGCCUGUGAAGGUGUGCUGUGAGGCAUGCUGGAGGUAUCAGAAGUGCGAAUGCUGACAUAAGUAACGAUAAAGCGGGUGAAAAGCCCGCUCGCCGGAAGACCAAGGGUUCCUGUCCAACGUUAAUCGGGGCAGGGUGAGUCGACCCCUAAGGCGAGGCCGAAAGGCGUAGUCGAUGGGAAACAGGUUAAUAUUCCUGUACUUGGUGUUACUGCGAAGGGGGGACGGAGAAGGCUAUGUUGGCCGGGCGACGGUUGUCCCGGUUUAAGCGUGUAGGCUGGUUUUCCAGGCAAAUCCGGAAAAUCAAGGCUGAGGCGUGAUGACGAGGCACUACGGUGCUGAAGCAACAAAUGCCCUGCUUCCAGGAAAAGCCUCUAAGCAUCAGGUAACAUCAAAUCGUACCCCAAACCGACACAGGUGGUCAGGUAGAGAAUACCAAGGCGCUUGAGAGAACUCGGGUGAAGGAACUAGGCAAAAUGGUGCCGUAACUUCGGGAGAAGGCACGCUGAUAUGUAGGUGAAGCGACUUGCUCGUGGAGCUGAAAUCAGUCGAAGAUACCAGCUGGCUGCAACUGUUUAUUAAAAACACAGCACUGUGCAAACACGAAAGUGGACGUAUACGGUGUGACGCCUGCCCGGUGCCGGAAGGUUAAUUGAUGGGGUCAGCGCAAGCGAAGCUCUUGAUCGAAGCCCCGGUAAACGGCGGCCGUAACUAUAACGGUCCUAAGGUAGCGAAAUUCCUUGUCGGGUAAGUUCCGACCUGCACGAAUGGCGUAAUGAUGGCCAGGCUGUCUCCACCCGAGACUCAGUGAAAUUGAACUCGCUGUGAAGAUGCAGUGUACCCGCGGCAAGACGGAAAGACCCCGUGAACCUUUACUAUAGCUUGACACUGAACAUUGAGCCUUGAUGUGUAGGAUAGGUGGGAGGCUUUGAAGUGUGGACGCCAGUCUGCAUGGAGCCGACCUUGAAAUACCACCCUUUAAUGUUUGAUGUUCUAACGUUGACCCGUAAUCCGGGUUGCGGACAGUGUCUGGUGGGUAGUUUGACUGGGGCGGUCUCCUCCUAAAGAGUAACGGAGGAGCACGAAGGUUGGCUAAUCCUGGUCGGACAUCAGGAGGUUAGUGCAAUGGCAUAAGCCAGCUUGACUGCGAGCGUGACGGCGCGAGCAGGUGCGAAAGCAGGUCAUAGUGAUCCGGUGGUUCUGAAUGGAAGGGCCAUCGCUCAACGGAUAAAAGGUACUCCGGGGAUAACAGGCUGAUACCGCCCAAGAGUUCAUAUCGACGGCGGUGUUUGGCACCUCGAUGUCGGCUCAUCACAUCCUGGGGCUGAAGUAGGUCCCAAGGGUAUGGCUGUUCGCCAUUUAAAGUGGUACGCGAGCUGGGUUUAGAACGUCGUGAGACAGUUCGGUCCCUAUCUGCCGUGGGCGCUGGAGAACUGAGGGGGGCUGCUCCUAGUACGAGAGGACCGGAGUGGACGCAUCACUGGUGUUCGGGUUGUCAUGCCAAUGGCACUGCCCGGUAGCUAAAUGCGGAAGAGAUAAGUGCUGAAAGCAUCUAAGCACGAAACUUGCCCCGAGAUGAGUUCUCCCUGACUCCUUGAGAGUCCUGAAGGAACGUUGAAGACGACGACGUUGAUAGGCCGGGUGUGUAAGCGCAGCGAUGCGUUGAGCUAACCGGUACUAAUGAACCGUGAGGCUUAACC